AUUUCAGGGGGAAAGAGGAAGACACCAGGAAGUUUUUCACCAGCCAGAGUAUCGCACUCCUACCAAGUGCAUCUCUGCGAAGACAAAACCCCAUAAUGAAAGAAACAUUCUGAGGAUGUUUGCUGAGCUCCAUAAUUGAGAGAAAGAAGUUGGACAAAGACACACCCACAGGGAAAGCACCAUGAGAAGAUGACGGCAGAGAUCUGGGCGACGCGUCUACAAGCCAAGCGACACCAAAGGUGGCCAGCAGCCCAUGUGAAGCUGGAGGAGAGGCCUCGAAUAAAUGCUCCCUUACAGCGUUCAGGGGGAACUGACCCUGUCCACACCUUGACCUUGAACUUCUGGGCUCCAGAACUGUGAGACAGCAUGUUCUGUUGUUGAAGGAGCAGCGUGGCUAGAGGAAUUCCUGCAGCUUAGAUUUCGCUGGCACUGUUACCACUCCCAGAGAGGAGCGGCUGGAGUUCACGGCUGGUUCCUGACAAACUUCCUAAUUAAUCUGCUAAAGAUCAGAGGAGGACUAAUAGGAGCUGAAGACUGUGUGCGAGACCACCCCUCCGCCCUCUCCCUUUGUGUGUGCACGUGUGUGUGUGUGUGUGUGUGAGCGCGUGCGCGCAUGUGGUGCUGAGCUUGGCGGGAGAGAGAUGGCCUCACCAGCGACAAAGCAUUCCUGCUGCUGUUGCUGCCACCUACCUUCCCUGCUUUGGGAGGAUACAUUUUCUCCUCUUGCUUAGAAGUUUCAGGGAGUCACCCAAGCCUUCUUCUCCCAGAUACAACGGUGGAAUAAAAUAUCUUCCAGCCAACAUAUUUUUUGGAGACGGAAUCUCACUCUGUCACCUGGUUGAAGUGCAGCAGCGCGAUCAUGGCUCACUGCAACCUCUGCCUCCCGGUUUCAAGUGAUUCUCCUGCCUCCGCCUCCCGAGUAGCUGGGAUUACAGGCAUGUGCCACCCACCACGCCUGGGUAAUUUUUGUAUUUUUACUAGAGACAGGGUUUCACUAUGUGGGCUGGGCUGGUCUCAAACUCCUGACCUCUGGUGAUCUGCCCACUUCGGCCUCUCAAAGUGCUGGGAUUACAGGCAUGAGCCCCCGCACCCGGUUGCAACCAACUUUUUUGUGGAAUAUAGGAUCUUGAUGUUUGGAUGCCUGAAGGCAGAAGCUGUUGCACAUGGAAUGGAUUAAAGUUUUCCCCUCUGCAACCAAAAAUCCUUGGGGUCCCAGGAGCAAAAGAUGCUCCAUGGCACAGGACAAUUCAAGAAGGCCCGAGGUGAUAUUGAAGACUGCAGAGACAUCCAGCUCAGUUGUGUCUCCGGAGGUGUCCAGACUUUGCAGACAGACGUUGCACAUAAAGAGCUGAAAAACUGAGGAAGCUGAGCUGGAGAAGGAAGUCACUUCUACUCAGACUUGACCUGCGUCUGAUGCUAUGGGGCCUCUUAGGGUUACCUCAUGCUUCAUGCACCCCUUUCUCUGUUCUUCAGCAGAAGGCAGGGUGUAGGGAAGCGGGACUGUGCCUCCUUUCUCCCUGCCAGGCCUGACUCUCCAGGCCAAGAGACACCAUUAAGGAGUAUAAUUUGUUGAUCCAGGCUCUCCUUGCGUUUCAGUGCAGAGUGGCAUCGUUUUCUUUAUGACCUCGUAAAGUCACAGCCGAGAGGCCGAUUUGGAAAACAAACUGCCUCAGGUUGACAGAUAAUUAGAUACAGGGGACAUAUUAUAUGCCUUUGCAUAUAAAUGUGCUCCGAGGCGUGUUGGUUCAUCUGAAGUUGAGGUUAAAGGCGCGCCAGCAGGAUCUUGGCAGUGGACUGCCACGGGAGCUCUGGGGAAAAAGGACCAGUUGGACUCCAGUACCUCCUGAGAGACCACCACCCUCCAUGCCUCCAGCUCAUGCCCAGCUCUGAGUCAGACGGACUCUUCCUGUUGUACUGCGAGGUUCUGCAAACCUUGAAGGGCAAACACAGUGAGGGUCUCUGACUUGCUGUGUGGACAGCCCACUCUCUGACAGCCCAGAUCAUCUGAAGCUAUCCCUGGGCUGGGAGCUGGAAGCCAUUCUUGUGAACCACUCCUUAUACCUUGAGCGAAGCCUCUUUGGGUCCCAGAAGUCUGAAGCUCCAGCUGCCUGGCAAGACUGAGUCUAGAUGAUUUCUUGGGUACCAGUAGUUUGGCAUUUAAAAAUACUGGAUUAACUGCAGUGUAAACUUAGAUUGCAUUUCAGAUUGUAAACAAUAACCCCCGUGCUUCAUGUGAUGUUAAAUCAGAAAUGAGCUAUUAGCCAAGCUAGUCCUCUUAUGAAUGAGCCCCUAACCCUGAUCCAGGGAUCGUUGAAUGAAAAUCAUCAAAAUGAUUUAUCUUCACUUUACCUAUUGUCUCACAAGAAUCUCAUCACUCAGGGAAAAGGAGGGUGUUCUUCAGGGAACGGAGGGCAUGAGGAAGGGGGAUUUCCUUAUAUCUCAACUUUCAGAGGGAGCUGAGUUGUAAACAGAUGGAACAAGGUGUGUACGAGAAGCCUCUUAGAUUUAGUCUUUCAUAUCAAGGCUCUUGCUGAAAAUCCUGGCACAGCUGUGAAAUGAGGGGAGCUCUGACACACAGAGACACGCUCCUUGCCUCACCAACCUUCCCAUACACAGUCAUGCGCACAGAGAGCAGGUACCAAUACUGAAAAUGCCCUUCCGGAGUUUCCUCAGCUUAAACCCUUGACAGCAUUAAGUGAGGAAGGAGUUUCCUUGACCUGGGGAAGAAGAACCAACUCAUAAACAUGGAACUGUGCCCACUGCCUUUUCCUUUGCUCUGUGGAUUGGCUGUGGUUCUGCCCUGGCACUCGGAUGUCAAGUUGCUCUGGCUGUUUGGGAGGAAGCCCAGCCUGGGUCAGGUGGUCAUAAGCCAGAGGCCCUGUCCUGUCCCCAGGGUUGGCCUCCCUCUGGGGUCCAGCAUGGCCCCAGUGCUGAGGCUCCCACUGCUGGGGAAUGUGCCCUCUCCUCUCUUUGUUUCCAUACCAAGGGGAUCUGCAGGGUAGAGGGCAAAUUAUUCUUAGCAGAUUGGGGCUAUGGGUAAACCAGAAGGGAUGAGGGAGAGAGGAGAGAGGAGAGGAAAGGGAAGGAGAGGGGAGGGCAGGGGAUAGGUAGAGGAGAGAGACAGCAAGAAAAAAUAGAAAAAAAAAAAAAGGAAAUAAAGGUUGCAUAUACAAAGGGAGAUUAACAAGGAGUAGAAGAAGGGAGGCAGAAGAGGGAGAAACAGAGAAGAGGAACAAAGAAGACAUUUCCAAAAAAGACGUGAGCACACCAGGCAGGAGGGAGAAAAGGAACAAGGAGAAAGGAAGGAAGUGAGACAAGCUGGGGAGAGAAGAGGCAAAGGCAGCCAGGAGCAGGCAUAGGGGAGAGAGGAGUGGGAAGCCCCAGGGGGUACAAGGAAAAAAAUGAGGGAAGCCAGUGGGAGGAAGGUGAGGAAGAGGAGAGGGAACAGGCACUGGGUGGGGAAGAGGCGAGCAGGAGAAAGCCUGUGCUGUGUGGAUUAUUGUGUGUUUGUCAUCUGGAAUGGUAUAAGCUGUAGGUACAGCAGCUCCCGCCCAUGAUUUAUGGUCCCUGUCAGGCAGGGACCGCGCUUUGUCUGCUGUAGCGUGGACGAUGAAUGCUCCGCUGUCAUCCCAGCCUGGCCGGCCUUUCUCUCUCUCUGCUCCCAACGCUGGCUCCCCAUUUCACGCCAGUGAACAUAAGCAAUCUUUUGUAAACCUGACAGUCACACUUGCUUCUUUGGAAACAUAAAGCAGAAAUGUAUGACUCGGCUUUCAUUACCCAAUUUCCUACGCUAUAUAAAAACACUCAGGAAAGACAUGUAAGUGGUCACGAAACCUGGGAAAUUGGAAGUGUCCUGGAGGAAAAAAAAAGGAAGAGUGGGGAGAAGGGGGCUGUAGGGUGGGAGGGAGCCGGUGAGGAGAGGAGACGAUGUGUCUAACUCCACCACAUCCUUCCCAGAAAACGCCGGCUGAUAAACGGGCCAUGCAGACACAUAAUUAUAUUACAUAUCUGAAUAAUAGACAUUUCCUGCCUGAAGUGUUGCUUUUUUUCCUCCUUCUCCUUUUAAC
RNAcentral lists this long non-coding RNA (4067 nucleotides) under Homo sapiens (human). RNAcentral's name for it is "HSALNT0135436". The record is from RNAcentral. Lineage: Eukaryota; Metazoa; Chordata; Mammalia; Primates; Hominidae.